GAUUGAACGCUGGCGGCAGGCCUAACACAUGCAAGUCGAGCGGUAGCACAGAGAGCUUGCUCUCGGGUGACGAGCGGCGGACGGGUGAGUAAUGUCUGGGAAACUGCCUGAUGGAGGGGGAUAACUACUGGAAACGGUAGCUAAUACCGCAUAACGUCGCAAGACCAAAGUGGGGGACCUUCGGGCCUCAUGCCAUCAGAUGUGCCCAGAUGGGAUUAGCUAGUAGGUGGGGUAACGGCUCACCUAGGCGACGAUCCCUAGCUGGUCUGAGAGGAUGACCAGCCACACUGGAACUGAGACACGGUCCAGACUCCUACGGGAGGCAGCAGUGGGGAAUAUUGCACAAUGGGCGCAAGCCUGAUGCAGCCAUGCCGCGUGUGUGAAGAAGGCCUUCGGGUUGUAAAGCACUUUCAGCGGGGAGGAAGGCGGUGAGGUUAAUAACCUCAUCGAUUGACGUUACCCGCAGAAGAAGCACCGGCUAACUCCGUGCCAGCAGCCGCGGUAAUACGGAGGGUGCAAGCGUUAAUCGGAAUUACUGGGCGUAAAGCGCACGCAGGCGGUCUGUCAAGUCGGAUGUGAAAUCCCCGGGCUUAACCUGGGAACUGCAUUCGAAACUGGCAGGGCUAGAGUCUUGUAGAGGGGGGUAGAAUUCCAGGUGUAGCGGUGAAAUGCGUAGAGAUCUGGAGGAAUACCGGUGGCGAAGGCGGCCCCCUGGACAAAGACUGACGCUCAGGUGCGAAAGCGUGGGGAGCAAACAGGAUUAGAUACCCUGGUAGUCCACGCCGUAAACGAUGUCGAUUUGGAGGUUGUGCCCUUGAGGCGUGGCUUCCGGAGCUAACGCGUUAAAUCGACCGCCUGGGGAGUACGGCCGCAAGGUUAAAACUCAAAUGAAUUGACGGGGGCCCGCACAAGCGGUGGAGCAUGUGGUUUAAUUCGAUGCAACGCGAAGAACCUUACCUGGUCUUGACAUCCACAGAACUUUCCAGAGAUGGAUUGGUGCCUUCGGGAACUGUGAGACAGGUGCUGCAUGGCUGUCGUCAGCUCGUGUUGUGAAAUGUUGGGUUAAGUCCCGCAACGAGCGCAACCCUUAUCCUUUGUUGCCAGCGGUUAGGCCGGGAACUCAAAGGAGACUGCCAGUGAUAAACUGGAGGAAGGUGGGGAUGACGUCAAGUCAUCAUGGCCCUUACGACCAGGGCUACACACGUGCUACAAUGGCAUAUACAAAGAGAAGCGACCUCGCGAGAGCAAGCGGACCUCAUAAAGUAUGUCGUAGUCCGGAUUGGAGUCUGCAACUCGACUCCAUGAAGUCGGAAUCGCUAGUAAUCGUAGAUCAGAAUGCUACGGUGAAUACGUUCCCGGGCCUUGUACACACCGCCCGUCACACCAUGGGAGUGGGUUGCAAAAGAAGUAGGUAGCUUAACCUUCGGGAGGGCGCUUACCACUUUGUGAUUCAUGACUGGGGUGAA
Molecule: ribosomal RNA, 1466 nt
Filed under: uncultured organism
Description: SSU rRNA
Rfam family: Bacterial small subunit ribosomal RNA
Source: RNAcentral